AAUGGGGAAACCCAGUGUGAUUCGUCACACUAUCAUUAACUGAAUCCAUAGGUUAAUGAGGCGAACCGGGGGAACUGAAACAUCUAAGUACCCCGAGGAAAAGAAAUCAACCGAGAUUCCCCCAGUAGCGGCGAGCGAACGGGGAGGAGCCCAGAGCCUGAAUCAGCAUGUGUGUUAGUGGAAGCGUCUGGAAAGGCGCGCGAUACAGGGUGACAGCCCCGUACACAAAAGCGCAUGUGCUGUGAGCUCGAUGAGUAGGGCGGGACACGUGGUAUCCUGUCUGAAUAUGGGGGGACCAUCCUCCAAGGCUAAAUACUCCUGACUGACCGAUAGUGAACCAGUACCGUGAGGGAAAGGCGAAAAGAACCCCGGCGAGGGGAGUGAAAAAGAACCUGAAACCGUGUACGUACAAGCAGUGGGAGCACAGGUUUACCUGUGUGACUGCGUACCUUUUGUAUAAUGGGUCAGCGACUUAUAUUCUGUAGCAAGGUUAACCGAAUAGGGGAGCCGGAGGGAAACCGAGUCUUAAUUGGGCGUUAAGUUGCAGGGUA
Molecule: ribosomal RNA, 551 nt
Filed under: Salmonella enterica
Lineage: Bacteria; Pseudomonadati; Pseudomonadota; Gammaproteobacteria; Enterobacterales; Enterobacteriaceae
Also listed under: 1 other name
Description: bacterial LSU rRNA
Rfam family: Bacterial large subunit ribosomal RNA
Source: RNAcentral